CACGUAGGGUGCGAGCGUUGUCCGGAAUUAUUGGGCGUAAAGAGCUCGUAGGCGGUGUGUCGCGUCGGCCGUGAAAACCUGCAGCUUAACUGUGGGCUUGCGGUCGAUACGGGCAUCACUGGAGUUCGGCAGGGGAGACUGGAAUUCCAGGUGUAGCGGUGAAAUGCGUAGAUAUCUGGAGGAAUACCGGUGGCGAAGGCGGCAUCCUGGACCGACAUUGACGCUGAUGAGCGAAAGCUAGGGGAGCAAACGGG
This 254-nucleotide ribosomal RNA is filed under the name uncultured bacterium. RNAcentral's name for it is "partial 16S ribosomal RNA". It matches the Rfam family "Bacterial small subunit ribosomal RNA", at positions 524 to 776 of the family's 1533-position model. The record is from RNAcentral.